AGAUUGAACGCUGGCGGCAGGCCUAACACAUGCAAGUCGAGCGGCAGCACGGGUACUUGUACCUGGUGGCGAGCGGCGGACGGGUGAGUAAUGCCUAGGAAUCUGCCUGGUAGUGGGGGAUAACGCUCGGAAACGGACGCUAAUACCGCAUACGUCCUACGGGAGAAAGCGGGACGUUCGGCCGCUCGCCAUUAGAUGAGCCUAGGUCCGGAAUUAGGCUUAGUUGGUAGUAGGUAAUGGAUCGGACCAGGCCGAACGGACUCCG
RNAcentral lists this ribosomal RNA (265 nucleotides) under uncultured soil bacterium. RNAcentral describes it as "partial 16S ribosomal RNA". It matches the Rfam family "Bacterial small subunit ribosomal RNA", at positions 26 to 289 of the family's 1533-position model. The record is from RNAcentral.